UUGAAAGGGAAACGAUUGAAGUCAGUCGUACCGGCGGGUAAUCAGCCUUUUGGGUGUGAUUAUGUGGAGUGUGAGGAGUUAAACACCCUCAUCUUUGCAUAUUCGUGCACUUUGGGUGUACUUGCUCGUGUGGUAGGUUAACAUCAAUUUUGAUCGUCAUAAAAUGAUUGGAGGAAUGUAGCUUCGAUCUCGUAUUGAAGUGUUAUAGCCUUCGGUAGAUGUGAUGAUUGGGAUUGAGGAUUGCAACGGAUACCCUUCGGGGCUACCUGUCUGAUCUCUGAAAGUUGCUCUGGUGCUGAAAGCUUGCUUAUGGUAUCAAAGUUGACGUUCAACAGGUUAGAACGGGAUAAAUUCGUUAAGGAUGUUGACGUA
Molecule: ribosomal RNA, 372 nt
Filed under: uncultured Glomeromycotina
Lineage: Eukaryota; Fungi; Glomeromycota
Description: LSU rRNA
Source: RNAcentral